GAUGAACGCUAGCGGGAGGCCUAACACAUGCAAGCCGAGCGGUAGAGUUUCUUCGGAAACUUGAGAGCAGCGCACGGGUGCGUAACACGUGUGCAACCUACCUUUAUCUGGGGGAUAGCCUUUCGAAAGGAAGUUUAAUACCCCAUAAUAUAAUGAUUGGCAUCAAUUAUUAUUGAAAACUCCGGUGGAUAGAGAUGGGCACGCGCAAGAUUAGAUAGUUGGUGAGGUAACGGCUCACCAAGUCAAUGAUCUUUAGGGGUCCUGAGAGGGAGAUCCCCCACACUGGUACUGAGACACGGACCAGACUCCUACGGGAGGCAGCAGUGAGGAAUAUUGGACAAUGGGUGAGAGCCUGAUCCAGCCAUCCCGCGUGAAGGAUGACGGUCCUAUGGAUUGUAAACUUCUUUUGUACAGGGAUAAACCUACCCUCGUGAGGGUAGCUGAAGGUACUGUACGAAUAAGCACCGGCUAACUCCGUG
RNAcentral lists this ribosomal RNA (479 nucleotides) under uncultured bacterium. RNAcentral's name for it is "partial 16S ribosomal RNA". It matches the Rfam family "Bacterial small subunit ribosomal RNA", at positions 28 to 507 of the family's 1533-position model. The record is from RNAcentral.